This 224-nucleotide unclassified non-coding RNA is filed under the name Hevea brasiliensis (rubber tree). Lineage: Eukaryota; Viridiplantae; Streptophyta; Magnoliopsida; Malpighiales; Euphorbiaceae. The record is from RNAcentral.
CCCAAAUUUUCUCUCGUUUGUUUAGCAAUUUGCAGCUGAAUGCAAGCUACGCCAUUUCUGACCAAAACUUCCCAAAUUUUUAUGUCGCUCAAAAAGUUUCUUAUCUUCACACAAAUUACAUUGUUAUUGAACACAAGUGAAAAUUACACAGAACAACACCUCUAUCAUACACGGACGCCGACAAAGAUUUAAAUCUUAUAUAUCUCACCAUCACAUAUAAGGAC